GAUGAACGCUGGCGGCGUGCCUAAUACAUGCAAGUCGAGCGAACAGACGAGGAGCUUGCUCCUCUGACGUUAGCGGCGGACGGGUGAGUAACACGUGGAUAACCUACCUAUAAGACUGGGAUAACUUCGGGAAACCGGAGCUAAUACCGGAUAAUAUAUUGAACCGCAUGGUUCAAUAGUGAAAGACGGUUUUGCUGUCACUUAUAGCUGGAUCCACGCCGCAUUAGCUAGUUGGUAAGGUAACGGCUUACCAAGGCAACGAUGCGUAGCCGACCUGAGAGGGUGAUCGGCCACACUGGAACUGAGACACGGUCCAGACUCCUACGGGAGGCAGCAGUAGGGAAUCUUCCGCAAUGGGCGAAAGCCUGACGGAGCAACGCCGCGUGAGUGAUGAAGGUCUUCGGAUCGUAAAACUCUGUUAUUAGGGAAGAACAAAUGUGUAAGUAACUAUGCACGUCUUGACGGUACCUAAUCAGAAAGCCACGGCUAACUACGUG
This 497-nucleotide ribosomal RNA is filed under the name uncultured bacterium. RNAcentral's name for it is "partial 16S ribosomal RNA". It matches the Rfam family "Bacterial small subunit ribosomal RNA", at positions 28 to 507 of the family's 1533-position model. The record is from RNAcentral.